Molecule: unclassified non-coding RNA, 190 nt
Filed under: fungal sp.
Lineage: Eukaryota; Fungi
Description: partial internal transcribed spacer region
Rfam family: Eukaryotic small subunit ribosomal RNA (bases 1-46)
Source: RNAcentral
AAGUCGUAACAAGGUUUCCGUAGGUGAACCUGCGGAAGGAUCAUUAAAGAUUGGCCGAGAGGCCUCAUCUCUAUAUCCCUCACCUCUGUGAACCGUGGACCCUCGGGUCUAUAUACCUACAAACAUCUGUGUAAUGAACGUAUGUGACAUUAACAAAACAAAACUUUCAACAACGGAUCUCUUGGCUCUC